Molecule: long non-coding RNA, 3601 nt
Filed under: Sus scrofa (pig)
Lineage: Eukaryota; Metazoa; Chordata; Mammalia; Artiodactyla; Suidae
Description: lncRNA (ENSSSCG00000062249.1)
Source: RNAcentral
AGAAUUGGAAUUGGAACCAGUAUUUGUACUAGACAGUAUCAAAAGGAAAAUCUUGUUCAUUAAUGACUGUUGACAAAGAUAAAAGCUUCAUCAUUUCUGUUUAAAAUGAGAUUUGUCAGAGGCACCAGUCCCCACAGUAAAAUAAUAAGGAAGAAAUUGGGGAUGAAUUGGUAAAAGUGGGUAUCAUACACCCUAUUUUUCAAAGCAGGAAUCCCAAGUUGAUAUGGCAUAUCAUUGAAUGUUGGAAGCUACGAGGGAGGACAUUCUUUCUUAAGGAAGUAGAAGAAUGAUUAAGAGCCUUGUUGAGAUUCAGGGCUGGGGGUCUGGGAGGAGAAAGACAAUGGAAGGGUAUGUGUCCAGGCAAGGUGGGUGGCAGAAAAGACAUUCAAGCAGUUCUCCAUAACUAGGGCAGAGAGGGCAAGCCGGGAAGUGCUGAGAAAAGGGGCUGGGAAAGGAGAUCAGGACAGACCUGGCAAGUCCUGGAAUGGGUUGUUGGACCCUGGCCCAUUAUAAUAAAACUGUGAAGGGACUUAGAAGAAUCCUGGUAAUGGGACCGUAUUUGCUGUUGAGAAUGUUGCACUACUGGCAAGGCUGAGGGAAGAGGCCUUGGCCAUAGGAAGAAGCGCAGAAUAGGACAGACAAUUUGGUCAUUUAAGGAUUAUCCUUUCAAAAGCCCUCAGUGUGUGAGGGAGGUGAAACCAUGUCUGGAGAGAACCUCAUACUUCAGGGAAGAUUUCUGUUUUUCAGAUAGAAAAUUUGGACGUGUUUACUCUAUGAGCCAUUGGAGGGCAGAAUUGAAAACAGAAGAGAUGCAAUAAUCAAUCUGUAAACUGAGUAGUCAAAGGAGAGGGGCCUUGGAAACAGGCUAUGCUCAGUUAAGGUUUAGAGUGAAUGAAUAAAUAUACUUGUGGGUUUUCUGCUUUUCAGUGCAUGGUGGGUGAUGUCAUAUUAAUCCAUCAUACCUACAAGGCACGUGGCAAAGGACUUGAGGAGAAUCCCACACCCCCUGGCAUUUCGAAGGGGUACUUAAUGCUACUGGAAUUUUCCAACCUGGAUAGUUAAGUUCAUUAUAAAACAGGAUGAUUUCUAGAUUUUUUUUUUCUGAUUAUCAUAAUGCAAAAUUUCUAUAAGUACAUUUUCUUCAUCUUCCAUGCUUCUUUCCCCCUUAUUCCUGGUGUAUGUUCAGUCAUUUCUUGACCCAUCAUGAUCUUUGACAGAAGUAUUUUUAUAUCAUUCGAUGGCAUAUUACAGCUUGUUUUAUUAUGGUAGAUGUUUUUUCUUAAAAUUAUUUUUCAGUAAGAAAAAUACAAAUGAGUCAAGAAAUAGAAUGAGUCAAGUUAAUCUGAUGUUAAAGGUAAAAAUAAUAUAUAACCUGCUCUAGGGUUCAUCUUGGAUUAAUAAAUUGCAGAAGAUAAAUGAGUAGAAACAUCAAUUAUCAGCUUUCACUAGCCAUAGAACAUUCUCGAAGCAAGAUAAUAGAGUUUUAAUAACAAGUUAAUUAUAAGGGCCAGCACUUAAUUCCUUGGAGGACUGCUUUUCUGUUAAUCCUGGAAAGGAUUCAAAUAAGACCUAAUUCACUAAUCUCUUUCCCUCUUUUUUUUUUUUUAACCUCCUCUUCCUCCUUGUCCUCUGUGUAUUUGACUACAAAAGCAAUAAUAACAAGAGAAUUUGCUUUUGAAAAGAAGAAGAUGUACCUUGCCUUGUUGCUAUAUCUAUUUUCUUUUCUGUUACCUGGAAGUCUCCACCUAUGUGUAUAUAUAUUUUGCAUCAACGAAAUCAUAAUGUACAUAAGCUUUUGUAUUCUGAUAUUACACUAAAUAAUACUUUUUUUUUCAUUUCUAAGUGUGAAUAAAACUCAUUUGCCCUGAUACACUAUUAUAUGUUUAACUGUCCCCCUAUUGUUGAGAUAGAAGGUUUUACUUUUCUCUGCUUAAAUAUUUCAUACUAUAACAAAUAUCAUCUAAAGAUAAAUUCCUAGGAACAGAAAUAUUAGAUUAAUUAAUAGGAACAUAAUUGUAGUACUUGCUCUUUACUGACCUCUUGCUCCUUAAAUAUGAACCAAAUUGUAAAUAACAUCGCUGGCCCUGAAAUUGCAUCUGUUAUGACAUAAUUAUUUUAGCCUUCAGCAUUAUCAAGUUUAAUGGUUUAUUAUUCAGGAAGAGUUGAAAUGUUAUAUCAUUUCUCUUUUUUGAUUAUUAAUACAUUCAUUGUAAAAAAUUGUGAAUUUAAGACCAACAUAUAAAUGCUUAAUAAUUUAUGUAUUAGUAAACCAAAAAUAGCCUAUUAAUAAUGAAAACAUUGUUUAAUGUCUUUCAGGUUAAGAAAUAUUUAAUGGGUAGACAACAGCUUUAAAUAAACACACAAAAAAUGAAAUCAACUAAUUUAAAUUGUAGAUAAAGAGCAAUUUCUAAAAUAACUAUUAAAGAGUUGUUCCAAGAGGAAGUAUUACUUACUUUUAAAAAUGUUCCUCGAAUGUGUGAAAAAUAUUUAAAGUGUUAAUCUACUUUCCCGCUACUCAGAUAAUUGCUAAUCCCAGCCACUGAAAUUAAUGUCAACUUUGUUUAGAUCAGCCAUAAUUGUGUAGUUUAAUUCCAUCAUUUGAAAAUAAUAGCAUUCUUGGGUAUGUUUGUUCAUUAUAUAACUUUUUACAUUUAUUUUGAAUCUACCUCAUUUUGUGAUCCUAUAUUUAUUACUACUUUUCUAAAUUAUUUUUAAGAAUCAUAGAAUUUUUAAGAUCAUUUACAAAACUAGAAAAUACUUUAGUCGUCUUGGGUUAAUAAUAUAGCUCUCCCAAAGGUGGAGAAACAGAAAUAUAUUUAUAUAUAUUUGGAAAAUGUAUAUAUGAUAAUAUCCACCAAAGCAUUUUUCAAGGGUGCCAGUUUUAUAAAUUCAUGGUUUGGCCCAUAUUGAUAUAAAAUCUUAUUCCUUGUAUCUUUUUAGAGGAGAGAGCAAUUUGGUUGAAUCUUGGAUUUAGUUUUUGAAAUUUUGGGAAAUGAUUUUGUAAUCAAAUAAUGUGCUUCUAGAAUCAUGUAAGAUCAAUCCAAACUCAUAGAAAUUGAGACCACUUACAAAUAACCAAUUCUCAUUUUUUUAAAAUGGCAUUGUCUCCUUGAAAAUAUUUUGAAAUCCUUGUUUUUCUGAAUAUAUUACUUUGCAGUAUGAAUAAUAGCAGGGAAAAGUCCUUCGUACCAUCCCUGUAGUUAUUCCUCCUACUCAUUAUUUCUCCUACUCAUUCACCUUCUCUCUUCAAAUCAGAGGGAAUAGGCAGAUCCAGAAAAGAUUUAUGGUUGGGGUGGAGAGAAACUGCAUUCUUUGAAGAACAGAGAAUAAAAAUGCCAUAGACAGACUGGCCUUGAGAUUGGAGACUUGGGAAAAAAGAAAGUAAUAAGGAACUUAAGAGUCAGAAAACUCCAGAGUUCCUGCUAUAGUGCAGUGGGUUAAGAAUCCAACUGCAGUGGCUUGGGUCACUAAGGUGGCAUGGGUUCAAUUCCAGCCUGAUACAGUGGAUUGAGGAUCUGAUGUUGCCUCAGCUGUGGUGUAGAUCACAGCUAUUGUUUGGUUUCAGUCCCUGGCCCAGGACUUUCUCUAUGCCACAGGUGUG